AUAUUACAAAAACUGAUAAGGUAGAGUUUGUGGACAUAUUAGAACGGAACAGCUUGAUGAGCAUGGAACAAGUUAAUCAGUUUGCUUAAAUUGGCGCAAGAACCACUGCUACGGAGAAUGACCAGGUUUCAAAUGAAGAGGAAAAUGUAGGUGAUGGAUUGGGCUCAAUGCAUAAUUCCAAGAACCCAGCUGUUAAGAAAUAGGCUAUAAGAUUAAAUGACACUAUAGAUACUGAGAGAGAUGAGGAAGAGGAUGCUUUUGAUCAAUUCAUUUUGGAUGCUGCCGAAACUGAGAAGAUUGGUAAGGAAGUUGACGAUGGUGACAUGGAUAGUGGCAAAGAAAAUUCAAGCGGAAGUAGUGGAAGCAAAAGGGAGAGGGACCUUAACUUGAUGGAUAAGGAGGAUGAUGAAGAUGACCUUACUGUUAGAAGUACUCGUAGAUUGAGCUAGUCAAUUGAAUUGCAAAAAGAUGAGUCCGGUGCUACUCCUGUUUGGGGGCUUAGGAGGGUUGGCCCACAACAACCCAACAAAGCCCAUGAGGAUUUUAAGCUGGAACGCUAGG
Molecule: long non-coding RNA, 561 nt
Filed under: Gossypium raimondii (Peruvian cotton)
Lineage: Eukaryota; Viridiplantae; Streptophyta; Magnoliopsida; Malvales; Malvaceae
Description: long non-coding RNA (GRAI_LNC010453)
Source: RNAcentral